UUAAACCAGCAUCUGCUGUUCCUCCCUACACAUUCUCUCUUAGUUAGGUUUGGUUUAGAGAGACAGCGCUGAAACAGGCCCUUUGGCCCACCGAGUCUGCGCCAACCAGUCUAAGUUAAGAACUCACUUCUUUCAACAAUCUCCAUAUAUCUUUCCUGUUUUGGUCUGAAACGUCACCUAUCCAUGUUCUCCAGAGAUGCUGCCUGACCCGCUGCGUUACUCCAAUACUUUGUCCUUUUUUUUUGUUGCAAACCAGCAUCUGCAGUUCUUUGUUCCUAAUUACAAAAAAAUAAUAAAAUAUUGCAUCCCUCGUAUCUGCAGUGACCUUUUGAAUAUCUAGUCCUUUGAAUAACCAGUCGCUUGUGUACUUUCAUAAUAGAGUUUGUAGGUUAAUUGGUUUGGUUAUAAAUGUAAAAAAAAUUGGCCCUAGUAUGUGUAGGUGUGUGUGUGUGUGUAGGAUAG
Amblyraja radiata (thorny skate) is the source of this 462-nucleotide long non-coding RNA. RefSeq lists it as uncharacterized. Lineage: Eukaryota; Metazoa; Chordata; Chondrichthyes; Rajiformes; Rajidae. The record is from RefSeq and is a predicted model, not a curated record. The transcript has 4 exons.